AACGUAGGAGACAAACGUUAUCCGGAGUUACUGGGCGUAAAGGGCGUGUAGGCGGUUUGUUAAGUCUAGCGUGAAAGCUCUCGGCUAAACCGGGAGAGGUCGUUGGAUACUGGCAAACUAGAGGAUGGUAGAGGCGUGUGGAAUUCCGGGUGUAGUGGUGAAAUGCGUAGAGAUCCGGAGGAACACCAGUGGCGAAGGCGACACGCUGGGCCAUACCUGACGCUAAAGCGCGACAGCAUGGGGAGCAAACGGG
This 253-nucleotide ribosomal RNA is filed under the name uncultured bacterium. RNAcentral describes it as "partial 16S ribosomal RNA". It matches the Rfam family "Bacterial small subunit ribosomal RNA", at positions 524 to 776 of the family's 1533-position model. The record is from RNAcentral.